GGAACACUGUAGUGAAGGAAAAGGCAGCAAACAUUUGAAAACAUGGAGGAUAAGUUACAAAUACUGAAGUUCGACAAGCCGUGGUAUGUUAUGGUGGAAGACCAUGAAAUGUGUCAGAGCAUUUUUGACGAUCUUCUUGAAAAAGUGGAUAGAGAGA
Molecule: long non-coding RNA, 157 nt
Organism: Saccostrea cuccullata (small rock oyster)
Lineage: Eukaryota; Metazoa; Mollusca; Bivalvia; Ostreida; Ostreidae
Exons: 3
Source: RefSeq, a predicted model, not a curated record